RNAcentral lists this long non-coding RNA (1000 nucleotides) under Drosophila melanogaster (fruit fly). Its description in RNAcentral is "long non-coding RNA:CR46115 (Dmel_CR46115)". The record is from RNAcentral. Lineage: Eukaryota; Metazoa; Arthropoda; Insecta; Diptera; Drosophilidae.
CAUGAAUCUGAAGUUCCAGGAAUGCCUAAAGUCAAGGAACGAUCCUUUCAAUUAGCCGACUGAGCCCUUCUCCAAGGUAUGACAAAUUUACCUCCAUCUCCUCCCAGGACGACUGCUGAGAAAUGGCAAUUUCCUGCGACUGUGACUGAGUCCACACACAUGUGCUUCUGAGUCCGACUUCUCGACAUGUCCUGGAGUCUGGACCUCUCGUCCUGUUUUCCGUCUGCCUCCUGGCCGCAAAAUUGGUAAUUUUCUAGUACAUUUAUUUCCACAUGUCAGGCCAGUCAAGUUGGUAACUCCAGACCGCAUCUUCAUGUUGAUGGACAUGUGAGUGGGCCUCCAUGAGAUGGGACAGUGGUAGGCUUACGAACCGGAUGCCGGAAUUGUUGCAGGCUUUUAAGAUUCCACACCCCAACCGCCGAUCCGCCGGAAAAGCAGCUGCCGGAGGACUGGCCUCAGCCAUUAGCGCUAAUCUCCGCACAAUCGGGAAUAAAUCAAGGCACGCUCUGCACUCUCUGGCCGGAAAAUGCAUUCGGCAUUCGGUUUUCAGCAUUUGGCAUUCAAUUUGGCUCACAGUUCACCGGGCAGCAACAAUGUAGUAACUUCCUAGUCCCGGCGAAACACCGUCCACCUCACCCUGCGACGUGUGCUCGUUUUCAGAUUCAGAUUCUGAUUCGGAUCCCCAGGUUCAGAAGGUGUAACUAAUCCGCUGGCCAUGUGACUUUUGUCAUGCGCCGAUGUCAAACACUAUAUGCCCGAAAUACGAAAAUCGACGCCCGACUGCCGAUGAACCCUUGCCAAUCCGGUGGCAAAGGCAUUCCACUCGAUUCCACCCCGAAUACACGGCCUUCCGAACGGCCUUUCACCUUCAAUCAACGGACCACCAACUCCACCCCCAUUUAUCCUCCCUCCAAUUGAUUUCAGUGUUCACUUCGAAUUGCCGCUUGUAAUCCCUUGAUUUGGGAAUGCACUUGGAAAAAAAAAUACGAAAUUGCCUAGU